Molecule: non-coding RNA, 148 nt
Filed under: Nomascus leucogenys (northern white-cheeked gibbon)
Lineage: Eukaryota; Metazoa; Chordata; Mammalia; Primates; Hylobatidae
Source: Rfam by way of RNAcentral
GUCGGGUGUGGUGGUGUGCACCUGUAGUCCCAGCUACUUGGGAGGCUGAGGUGGGAGGAUCUCUUGAGCCUGGGAGAUCAAGGCUGCAGUGAGCUGUGAUUGCACCACUGCACUCCAGCCUGGGUGACAGAGUGAGACCCUGCCUCAA